CCCCUAUGUUCUAUUUUUAGCCAUGGCGGCCAUCUUGGUUGGUUGGCUUGGUCACCGGACACAAUUUUAAACUAGAUACCCUAAUAAUGAUUGUGGCCAAGUUUGGUAAAAAUUGGCCCAGUAGUUUCAGAGGAGAAGAUUUUUGUAAAAGCUAACGACGGACGACGACGACGGACGACGGACGCCGGACGCCAAGUGAUGAGAAAAGCUCACUUGGCCCUGUGGGCCAGGUGAGCUAAAAA
Molecule: long non-coding RNA, 242 nt
Filed under: Mytilus galloprovincialis (Mediterranean mussel)
Lineage: Eukaryota; Metazoa; Mollusca; Bivalvia; Mytilida; Mytilidae
Source: RNAcentral